This 65-nucleotide transfer RNA is filed under the name Callirhopalus sedakowii. RNAcentral's name for it is "tRNA-Ile". Lineage: Eukaryota; Metazoa; Arthropoda; Insecta; Coleoptera; Curculionidae. The record is from RNAcentral.
AAUGGUAUGUCUGAUAAAAGAAUUAUUUUGAUAGAAUAAAACAUGUAGCUCUGCUACUUCCAUUU